This 2836-nucleotide unclassified non-coding RNA is filed under the name Hevea brasiliensis (rubber tree). The record is from RNAcentral. Lineage: Eukaryota; Viridiplantae; Streptophyta; Magnoliopsida; Malpighiales; Euphorbiaceae.
AAAUUAGGUCCAGAGAGAAGUCCACAGCUAAAAGAAAAAACGCAACAAAGAGAGAGUUCAACUGUUCGACAAAAUGCCACAAAGAAAGCUCUCUAAAUUCGACCAGCUAUUACAAAUGGAAAUAAGACCAUGUCGUGCGUGAUUACUUUAAAAAACAUCAAAACCAAAAGAAAAGCAAAAAGAACAGCGACUAGCGGCGUAGUAGAGCUCCUAACUUGACUGUAGUAUCAUAAAUAAAAUAAUAACAUGAAAGCACAAGUUCUUCGCUGUGAUAAAAAACCCUUCGUCGCCAGUAUGGAUUGAUAUAUAGUAGAGUAAGCACUCCCAAGAAAAACACAAUAAAAGAUACUGAGAAACUUGCAAAGAAGACCACAUGGUCAAUUUCAUACCAUUUUCUGUCUGCUUCAUGUGGCAACCCUAUUGGCCACAAAUGUAAUCCAUUAUCACCAUCACAGUUCUGUAAUGGUGGUCCACAUAAAAAUGGAUUGCCUUCAUAACUACUAUUGUCGAAGGUACUGAAUUGAGCUUUCAUAUCUGGAAUCCUUCCCGAUAAGUUGUUGUAAGCCACCGAGAAGACUGAUAAAAAGAAUAGAUCAGUAAGCUCUGACGGUAUUUCUCCACUCAAACUGUUGUGAGAAAGGUCCAAGCUCUCUAUUUGAGUUAGCUUUGCAAAAGUCCUUGGAACUGGACCUGUCAAUUGAUUGUGAGACAAAUUCAGGGCAUGAAUCCACGAUAAAUUUCCUAGUUCAGGCGGGAUUUCACCUAUCAGGUUAUUGCAUGACAAGUCCAGCCCCGACAAGUAAUUGAGAAUCUCACCCCUGUAGAUGCCUCGUCUAUUUUUCGUGACAAACUCAAUUUCAACUCGUAAAAUGGAGCUACCAUUCAACAUGCCUUCUUCCGUGCCUGCAUAGUGUUUAUUUGGAUAAACAUAUAUCCAAGUCCAAAAUGGCAGGUAAAUUGACGUUUCAGCAAUUGACUGAUAAUUAGGCCUCAUCUUCCCAAAGGUGAUAUUGUAGAAGCAGCGGGGUAUUGACCCAGAAAAAGCGUUGCUCGAAAGAUCCAUUAAGCUUAUGUUUUGCAACUGACACAAUUGCUUUGGAAUAGAGCCACUCAAAUUGUUUCCUCCCAAUAGAAGAACCCUUAAAUUGGAAAGUUCAGCAAUCAUGUUGGGAAUUUUUCCAGACAACCUGUUAUCUCUAACAUUCAAUGCCAAUAGAUUAGAUGAAUUGAGCAAGGCCUCUGGCAGUGAUCCUGUAAAGUUGUUCUCUUGCAGAUGUAUUUGCUCUAAAUUUCCUGUGUUCGAGCAAGAAGGUAGUGAUCCCGAAAGAAAGUUAUGAGAUAGAUCUAAAUACGCAACAGAAAAUGGUUCACAAGUAAGCUCUCCUUCAAAAGAGUUGUUCCGCAUAUCAAGUAUCUGCAGCCAUGUCAAGUUACCAAUCCAUCUGGGAAUCUUCCCUGACAUAUAAUUGUUGCUGAUGUCAAAUAAAGACAGUGAAACUGAUUUGAAUGAUUUUAUAUUUGUCAGACUUCCUGUAAAUUUGUUGUCACUCAACCGCAAGGCCUCCAACACACUCCAUUGGUAAUGAGUUGAGAAAAAUUCCCCAUGAAAGUUGUUGUUGGAUAAGUCUAAAACAUCCAAAUUGGUGCAACGUGCAGUAAAUCCUACUUCCCCAGAGAAAUUGUUGAAAGAAAGGUCCAACUCCUUCAAGUUUGUAAUAUCACAAAUGGAAGCAGGAAGACUACCGUCAAAAGCAUUUUUGGAUAAAUUAAGAGAUAUCAAAUGAGGAAAUUGUUUUCCAACAUUUUCUUGCAGCUGCCCUUCAAUUUGAUUGUCUGAGAGAUCCACAUGAAUAGCUUUCUCCAAAGGAUAGGGCUGUAUGUGAAACUGACCUAUCAAGGAGUUAUUCCUGAGACUCAGGAAUUCAAGUCUAGUAUUAUUUGCAAGUAACCAAGCAGGAAAUCUUUCUUUCAACUUAUUGUGAGAGAGAUCAAUUACUUUCAGUUGCCACUGGUGAAGAAGAAACUGAGGAAUUUUCUUGUUCAGAUUGCAGUUAGACAGUACAAGGACCUUCAAUUGAAAGUUUGGAACCCAAACUGCAUCUUCAGUUUCUAUUUCAAACUUGUCAUUGUCACUUACGAAUUUUACCACGUCCAGCUUGGAAUGAUUGCCAAAUGAGCUGAAUGAGAAUGAACCCAUAAAUUGAUUAUGACUUAGAUCAAUGUAUUCGAGGGACCUCAGACCAGCUAUCACAUAUGACGAAACAUUUCCAUUGAACUUGUUUUGCGAGAGAUCUAACACUCUAAGGGAUGUCAAAUUUUGGAGGCAUGGAGGAAGGGAACCUUCAAAUUUAUUGUAACUGAGAUCUACCUCCUGAAGUCUAUUUAAUGCACAAAGUCCUUGGACUAGCAAAGUUCCAUUGAGUGAAUUAUCUUCCAAAAUAAGCAGCUCCAACUUGCUUAAAUUAGAAAUUUCAUGGAGAGGAAGAGGCCCUUCCAAGGAAUUGGAAGAGAGAUCUAUAUAUUUGAGAGAUGAUAGUCUACCCAAUAACCUGAAACUGACUUUCUGAAUGUAAUUUCCCCUUAUAUCUAGAUACUCUAGCCCGCUCAGAUUUGAUAAAUUUGGGAAACCUUGUUUAGGAUAGAUACCAAACGCGUUUUGUGAUAGAAUUAGUUUCUUAAGGGAUGUGAGUCCACCCAGUGAUGGCAUGAUGCUUUCAUCCAAGCUGUUAUGACUAAGAUCCAAAAUCUCUAGCUUUUCCAGUCUUGCCAAGCUUUCAGAACCAGCUUCAAAUCCAUUGUAAGAUAAAUUAAGGAUUCUGAGCUCUUUCAGUGGCUG